This 62-nucleotide microRNA precursor is filed under the name Magallana gigas (Pacific oyster). Its description in RNAcentral is "Mgi-Mir-252-P1_pre stem-loop". The record is from RNAcentral. Lineage: Eukaryota; Metazoa; Mollusca; Bivalvia; Ostreida; Ostreidae.
UUAAGUAGUGGUGCCGCAGGUACAAGCUAUACUCGAGUCUACCGGCGCAUCUCUACUUUACU